GUGACUAGAUGCUGAUGUGUGUGUAUGUAGGUGAGUGUCUGUGGGUGUGUGUAGGCUGAAGCAUGUCAGUAGCUGCAGGCAUAGCUGCAUGGUUAAGAAGUUUAGUUUCUCGCGACAAAAUGGUCCCAGGUUCAGUCCCACCUUACAGCAGCUCGGACAGAUUCAGUGCUGAAUUGCUGAAGCAGAAAUAUCGUUAAAGCAAAUAUUCUGCUCAAUACCACAAAUUAGCUGGUUGUCUUUGAUCAAUUGUGGCCAAGAAGGAAAGUUGUAAAUCUAGUCGAGUUAACGGUUCCUCAUGAAGAUAACAUGGACGCCGCACGGGUUCAAAAGGUUGACCGUUAUGUAAACCUCCUCGAGAAAUGUGAAGACGCAGGCUGGAAAGCGGAGCAUUUUCCAAUCGAAGUUGGAAGUAGAGGGUUUGUUGGACACAGUGUGAGACGACUGCUGUUAUAUACCGCCUUGACCGAUAUCCAAAAUACAGUGGAGAAGGCUAGCCACUGGAUUUGGUUAAAAAGAGACGAUGAGCGAUGGCCAAAAGCAUACUGAACUUUAUUUAAUAACCAGUUGAUCUAGCA
Molecule: long non-coding RNA, 575 nt
Organism: Octopus bimaculoides (California two-spot octopus)
Lineage: Eukaryota; Metazoa; Mollusca; Cephalopoda; Octopoda; Octopodidae
Source: RefSeq, a predicted model, not a curated record